AAAGUCUGAAACCAAUACACGAGUAACAAGUGAUACCUAAGAAUGAUCAAUGACAACCCUUUAAAUAUUCUCUCCUUGAAUAAUCUCAAAUCUCUCUUGUCCCUUCUUCCUCUCCAAUCCUCUUCGGAUACUCACAUUUCGGUCAUCCUAAUUUCCCUACAACUCUCCGUCCAUCGGUCAACCAUCAAACCACCAAAGUUUCCUCCUCCUUGUAUCAACAAGUUUCAUCUGGCAAGCUUUUGCAUGCACCAAGAGAUACUAUAUCCGUCUGCAUAUAUUCUAAAUAAGUUCCUUGUAACAGAGUUUAGGGGCAAAGGGUCUAAAUUGUUGCAGAUAAUGGCCAAUGCUCCACUUUCAACACAGACAUAAUUUCAUUGUAAAAUGGUCAAGAUUGGUUAAAAUACAUAGCCAGCAACCAGUCUAAGUGCUAAACCAAUCUUGCAAACACAUAUUAGCCAGCAACCAGUCUAAGUGCUAAACCAAUCUUGCAAACACAUAUUUACAAAAGCAUAAACUUACAUUUCAUUAAACAAAAGAAAAAAGGCCAUUGACACCACUCAACAAGAAGUUGGUAUUAAAAUCAUGGCACUUACAAGCAUCAAAAAGGGUCUAAAAACAUGCAAAUGUUCUUAUAUACAUAAACAUGUCAGGUCUUUAUAUGAUACCCUAAAACGCCAUAUCUAUUUGGAUCAAGUGGAAGAGUGACCAGCAGCUAGCCAGGAUUUCAGUCUAGUACAACAUAACCUUGCCUUCGAAGACGGCGCAAUUGAUGAAGGGGCGGUACACGAAGACGAGCAGGAAGGUCAUAAUCAUCAUCAUGGACAACAUGAACACCUCC
RNAcentral lists this long non-coding RNA (838 nucleotides) under Gossypium barbadense (sea-island cotton). Its description in RNAcentral is "long non-coding RNA (GBAR_LNC014568)". Lineage: Eukaryota; Viridiplantae; Streptophyta; Magnoliopsida; Malvales; Malvaceae. The record is from RNAcentral.